GAAGAACUUUUUAAGACGCUAAGAGGGUAAACUUGAGAAAUCAUCCUCCUCCUGCUUUAAGAUCCAGAAUCCCAGUAGUCAAAACCGUCGGAGUGUAAGAGACGCAUGGCCUCCCCCUUCAAGAAACCAUCACUCUCCGGUAUGUAUUUUCUUUUGUUUUCUUCAAUCUCACAAUUGAAAUGGUCGAUUGGAUGCCUCAUCAUCAAUUGAAAUCAAUAGAUCAAAACCCUCUGAAUCCCAUAAAAACCACCAUACACACAAUCAAUCAAGAGUGGUGAGGCUUUCUUUGAAGCAUACUCUGGCGCUAUUAGGGCUAAAGUUGAACGUGAAGAAGAACAUGGUGUGAAACAAGUACAUAGCACAUCGAAAUCUUCAGCAAAUUGAAGACAGUCGAUUGUAUCUUAAAAUCACUACUUAGAAAGAUGACUGGUCAAACCAACAAAAGCAGAUUCAAACGUUUGUUAGGGCAUAAGCAAACGAUACUAACAGUGUCAACUUGGUGAAUUAAUCUGCAAGAUUUCUUUGAUGGAAGAACACGGAAUCUUGGGUGUGAGACCCAGAAAACAAUCAGCAGCUCGGAUCAGAGGACAAAAAUGGUUAAAAAGGAGAGAAAUAUGGCUUGUUGCUCUCGGUAUAGCACUUCAUGUUGUUUACAUGCUCAGCAUCUUCGACAUUUACUUCAAAUCUCCUAUUGUUCACGGCAUGGAUCCUGUUUCCCCUCGAUAUACUCUGCCUACAAAGCGCCUCGUGCUUCUUGUAGGUUCGUAUGUUUACACAUUUGUUGUGUAUUUUGAUCGCUAAGGAAGGAUGUUUGAGAGGGAAGAAAGAAAGGAUGUCGAUAUAUCAUUUAUCAGGUGAUGGGUUUGAUUUUAUUUUUUUUACAGUUUUGAUAUUUUUGUUGUGUAUGAUGUUAGGUUUAUGUUUUUUUGGCUGAGAUCAAGUGUAUGAUUAUUAAUAAUUAAAUCCACGCGACGCGACGACUCGAGCUUGGCUUUCUGGUGACUGUACAACAAUAAAAGGACGACAGCUGCGUCGGUAUUGGACAUUUUCAUAUAUUUACUCUCAAUGUUGUUGAACAUAGUAUGUGCAUCUCGAUCUUUGUUCUCGCAUUCGAAUUAUGCGUCAUUUUAGGUCAGUUUUGUUUGUUAAACUCCAAUUUAUUUGUACGGUUAGAACUUAGUUAGGAGUUUUAGUUUAAAAUUAAGAGCUCUUAACUGGUUCAGUAAUUUUGGAUUCCAAUUUAGAAUUAGUAUUUGGGGAUUUCAUCUCAGAUUGAACCAGGUCUAUUAUGAGAUCUAACUACAAUAUAAGAGGGGAUGGGGCACCCUCGGUUAGCGGUGCUCAGCUUCGAAGCCGCAUGCGAAACACUGCCGCCAUCCCCCUCGGGUAGGUGAGCGGCUAGGGGAGCUCCACUACUGCUUUCCUAAGGUGAUGUAGGCUAGGAACUGCGAAAGGACUGGUUUAUCUCCACGAGGACUGUAAGAUCAUUUUGUUCGUUUGCUGGCCACUAUAAGAUCAUUCAUUGGCGGUUCUUACUUGUCGCUUCAUGUGAAAAAAGAAAAAAAGUACAUUAAGUUACAUGGAUGAUGUUCUCGUAAUGCAUGUGAAUUCCUUUGAUUGUCAUUUCAUAUUUCUCGAAUUGUCGUUUCGGUUAUCACAUUUUGUAGUUUGUUCAGUUUUUAUGUGUCGAUAUUAUGAUAUAGGAUCUAGCUUGUCAAGCUGAUUUCAUUUCUUACGUAAAUUUAAAAUUUAUUUUUUUGGUUCUGUUUUGAGCAGUAAGAGAAGCUAGAAAUGAAGGCGUGCGUGGUGGACAUGGCGAUCAUGGGUUCGGACGUGGUGGCUGUCUCGGUCACAUUUUAUGUUUGUGAAUUUCUUAAACAUGUUUCUGUACCUGAACUGUUACAUUUUUUAAUAGACAACAAGGUUCUCUGCUGCAUCAGAUGCUACACGGUUAAAUCAGGCAACUUUUGGAAUGGGUUUGGUUUGGGUGUGCUAAAACACUUUUUGGCAAAGAGCUUUAAGGCAACCGGAAGCAUUGGGACGGUUUGGAGCAUAUACUUCAUAUCUAAUUACUAACGGUAGCAGCAUUUUCUUCUCGAGGCCUGAAUAUAAAAGAUUAUAAAUUUGCCGACGCAGAUUAUUUGAAACUUGAAGCACCAGAUUCUUUGAACUGGCCUUUUUGGUCUCCAAAUGGAACCGAUGAGCCUAAUCAUGAAGGACACGAAUGCUCUAAUGUGUGAUAGUGGAUUAAAUUCAACAAAAAAUGUGAUUUAUCACUUUCAAGCCCGUCUCACUAUUCCUAACCCCUUAAACCAGGCACACACCAGGAUGAAACCUUUAUUGGGUAAGGAAGAGAAGUCACAAGUAGCUGUUGUUUGCAACUUUAGUCUUUACUAACUUAGGGAUAAUGCUACUCACUUGAUCUUGUUGCAACUGGAGUAAUUUUUCAUGAAAGGGUUGUUAUGGAGAAACUUAAAAACAAUGUUAUAGGUGACAAGAUUAUCCAAAAGCUGUACUAAAUUUGGAUUCUGGUCUGGGAGUUUUAAGCCACAUAAUUAUUCUCUAAGUGGGGGUAUUUUGGCCUUUGAGGUUAUGUUGCUUUGUUUAAAUUUUUUUAUAUAAUUAUAUUUUACUUUUUUUGUGACUUUCCAGAUAUGGAUCUUUGAGGUUUUCCAAUACCCUAUGAAGUUUGGUAUCAACAUAACGUGGAAGCGUGCACUAGCAUUUGUCGUGGAUGCCACAAUGGUAUGUAGUAUGUGAGUAUGUACAUUAGUUUUUCUUAUUUUUUCGGUUAGUUUGUUAGUAUUACUCAGUUAAGUUUUUAGCCCGGAUUUGAGCCACUGCCAGUGUUGACACCAACUCCUACAGAGUGUGCCACUGAUUGGUGGUGGGCUAGCUUUCAUUUUCUGGGCAACUAUGAUAAUGAUUCUUCAACAUGUAGGCUACGGAAUACUAGGGAUGAUAUCUUGGGAGAAAUCCUUUUAAGUCUAUUUGAAUUUCUGCAGGGGCAACACUUUGGUUUCAGCAGUUUCUUAAAAGUCAGCGGUGACACUUUAACAUCAACUUCAAUGAACCGGAAAGUCACAUCUGGGACACGCUCCAAAUUCAAAUCUUGUAGCAAAUCCUAAACCCUCGCGGGUCAUCCACGGUCUCACCACCGAUCGCUUUGUUUAUACUAGCAGAAAACCUAUUGUACGUAUCCUCAGUUAGAAAAGUCAGCAUAUCGCUAAAGUCCAUAAUCAUGUUACCAAAUUCAAUGUGAUACAGGUUGUUCAAAAACGAACGAUUGUGAAUAUGAUUGUAUGCCGCGCUCAUCCCACCAACACGUCGAACAAAUGAAUGUGGUAUAAAGUUGAAAAAUCGUUCUUUACAAGAGGAGUUGAACAACAUUUGGCCCCGAGACAUUAGCACGAUCACCAAAAUAAAUUUAAAUUUGCAUGUUUUAUUUGAGGCACGUGGCGUCAAACAAUACGAAAACUUUCCUUUAGUGACUGAUUUUAAUUGGUUGAUUAGAGAAACCGAGCCACCUCA
Molecule: long non-coding RNA, 3531 nt
Organism: Helianthus annuus (common sunflower)
Lineage: Eukaryota; Viridiplantae; Streptophyta; Magnoliopsida; Asterales; Asteraceae
Exons: 5
Source: RefSeq, a predicted model, not a curated record